Molecule: long non-coding RNA, 345 nt
Organism: Bombus huntii
Lineage: Eukaryota; Metazoa; Arthropoda; Insecta; Hymenoptera; Apidae
Exons: 2
Source: RefSeq, a predicted model, not a curated record
AUAUACCGUUCAGAGGGGACCGGCUGUCUUUCCUCGUUGUCGUGAGUCGGACACCCGUGCCGUCGCUAGAAGUUUUUCAAACUCUGCUUCUGGAUAUCGGGACGAAAGACCGCGCGAGGACGACGGAUGCGAGUCCCAUCGAAUUUUUGAUUUACACACUACCUGAACGAGACUUAAAGUUUCAUCCAGUUUGUCGUCUAUCAUCUCAUAUAUAAUAUACCGUUCAGAGGGGACCGGCUGUCUAUCCUCGUUGUCGUGAGUCGGACACCCGUGCCGUCGCUAGAGUUUUUCAAACUCUGCUUCUGGAUGUUGGACGAAAGACCGCGCGAGGACGAUGGAUGCGAG